CCAAUGUUUGACCUUCAACAAUAUCCUCAAGACUCCUCCAACGGACGAACCUUCACAAUGCCAUCCGAACCCCACUAUCGAUCGACCCUCUACCAGAUUCCUCAUGAAACUAGACUUCUCUAAUAGAAAGUCUCCAUCCGAGCUUCUACAAUAGAUGACUUCUGCCUGCAGCAUCAGUGUCCAAGGCACCCGACAACAGUGGACCUGUCAGUAACCUUGAAAACAUCCGAGCUUCUCUUAGAUUGCAGAGACAGAGAGCCACUCCGCUCCAUCAGACGUCCCAGUCGAGCUUCAGCCG
RNAcentral lists this long non-coding RNA (298 nucleotides) under Elaeis guineensis (African oil palm). Its description in RNAcentral is "long non-coding RNA (EGUI_LNC044371)". Lineage: Eukaryota; Viridiplantae; Streptophyta; Magnoliopsida; Arecales; Arecaceae. The record is from RNAcentral.